GGGCGGACCUGGCGUACUGGAACGUGCAGGCGGUGUUCCUGCCGCCGCAGGUGACCGGCUCGCAGGGUCCGGUGUUCCGGGCCGCGCU
RNAcentral lists this transfer RNA (88 nucleotides) under Actinoplanes nipponensis. RNAcentral's name for it is "tRNA-Arg". Lineage: Bacteria; Bacillati; Actinomycetota; Actinomycetes; Micromonosporales; Micromonosporaceae. The record is from RNAcentral.